This is a non-coding RNA of Escherichia coli str. K-12 substr. MG1655, 43 nucleotides long. Lineage: Bacteria; Pseudomonadati; Pseudomonadota; Gammaproteobacteria; Enterobacterales; Enterobacteriaceae. The record is from Rfam.
AAGAUCGUGCAAAUUCAAUAUAUUGCAUGAGCCACGUAGGCCU